Molecule: ribosomal RNA, 403 nt
Filed under: Verrucomicrobiota bacterium
Lineage: Bacteria; Pseudomonadati; Verrucomicrobiota
Description: Verrucomicrobia bacterium partial 16S ribosomal RNA
Rfam family: Bacterial small subunit ribosomal RNA
Source: RNAcentral
UGGGGAAUAUUGCACAAUGGGGGAAACCCUGAUGCAGCGACGCCGCGUGAGCGAAGAAGGCUUUCGAGUCGUAAAGCUCUGUCCUAUGAGAAGAUAAUGACGGUAUCAUAGGAGGAAGCCCUGGCUAAAUACGUGCCAGCAGCCGCGGUAAUACGUAUGGGGCGAGCGUUGUCCGGAAUUAUUGGGCGUAAAGGGUACGUAGGCGGUUAGAAAAGUCUGAAGUGAAAGGCAGUGGCUCAACCAUUGUAGGCUUUGGAAACUGUUUAACUUGAGUGCAGAAGGGGAGAGUGGAAUUCCAUGGGUAGCGGUGAAAUGCGUAGAUAUAUGGAGGAACACCGGUGGCGAAAGCGGCUCUCUGGUCUGUAACUGACGCUGAGGAUCGAAAGCGUGGGGAGCGAACAGG